CCUACGGGUGGCAGCAGUGAGGAAUAUUGGUCAAUGGACGGAAGUCUGAACCAGCCAAGUCGCGUGCAGGAUGACGGCUCUAUGGGUUGUAAACUGCUUUUAUACGAGAAUAAUACUUCUUACGUGUAGGGCUUUGCAUGUACCGUAUGAAUAAGGAUCGGCUAAAUCCGUGCCAGCAGCCGCGGUAAUACGGAGGAUUCGGGCGUUAUCCGGAUUUAUUGGGUUUAAAGGGAGCGUAGGCUGUAGGUUAAGUUUGCGGUGAAAUGUCCGGGCUUAACCCGGGUCUUGCAGCUGAUACUGGUCGGCUAGAGAGCGCAGGUAGCAGGCGGAAUGAGUAGUGUAGCGGUGAAAUGCUUAGAUAUGACGCAGAACCCCGAUUGCGGAGGCAGCUUGCUACAGCGGAUCUGACGCUGAUGCACGAAAGCGUGGGUAGCGAACAGGAUUAGAUACCCGGGUAGUC
This 460-nucleotide ribosomal RNA is filed under the name uncultured bacterium. RNAcentral describes it as "partial 16S ribosomal RNA". It matches the Rfam family "Bacterial small subunit ribosomal RNA", at positions 338 to 795 of the family's 1533-position model. The record is from RNAcentral.